AGAGGGUGCAAGCGUUAAUCGGAAUUACUGGGCGUAAAGGGCACGUAGGCGGCUAGAUAAGUCAGAUGUGAAAUCCCCCGGGGCUCAACCUGGGAACUGCAUAUGAUACUGUUUGGCUAGAGUACAGUAGAGGGUAGUGGAAUUUCCGGUGUAGCGGUGAAAUGCGUAGAUAUCGGAAGGAACACCAGUGGCGAAGGCGGCUACCUGGACUGAUACUGACGCUGAGGUGCGAAAGCGUGGGUAGCGAACAGGAUUAGAUACCCUGGUAGUCCACGCUGUAAACGAUGAGUACUAGCCGUUGGGAGGGGAAGACCUCUUAGUGGCGUAGCAAACGCGCUAAGUACUCCGCCUGGGGAGUACGGCCGCAAGGCUA
This 373-nucleotide ribosomal RNA is filed under the name uncultured organism. RNAcentral describes it as "partial 16S ribosomal RNA". It matches the Rfam family "Bacterial small subunit ribosomal RNA", at positions 527 to 896 of the family's 1533-position model. The record is from RNAcentral.